Molecule: unclassified non-coding RNA, 200 nt
Filed under: Helotiales sp.
Lineage: Eukaryota; Fungi; Ascomycota; Leotiomycetes; Helotiales
Description: partial internal transcribed spacer 2
Source: RNAcentral
UUAAGUUCAGCGGGUAUCCCUACCUGAUCCGAGGUCAACCAUAGAAAAUUAGGGGUUCUGGCAGGACACCUCCAGGACUCUAUAGCGAGAAAAGUUACUACGCUUAGAACCAGAAGGCACCGCCACUGAUUUUAAGAGCUGUCCAGAGACAGGCUCCAACACCAAGCUAGGCUUGAGGGUUAUAAUGACGCUCGAACAGG